AGAGACUGUGGUUUAGUGACAAAAUAUCUGCUUCAUAUACAGAAGGUCCUAGGUUCAAUUGCUGGUAUCUCAA
This 73-nucleotide transfer RNA is filed under the name Sphaerodactylus townsendi. RNAcentral describes it as "tRNA-Met". It matches the Rfam family "tRNA". From Rfam's summary of the family: Transfer RNA (tRNA) molecules are approximately 80 nucleotides in length. Lineage: Eukaryota; Metazoa; Chordata; Lepidosauria; Squamata; Sphaerodactylidae. The record is from RNAcentral.